Molecule: small RNA, 494 nt
Filed under: Histoplasma ohiense
Lineage: Eukaryota; Fungi; Ascomycota; Eurotiomycetes; Onygenales; Ajellomycetaceae
Description: hypothetical lncRNA
Source: RNAcentral
CAAUAAAAGAGAGAGAGAGAGAGAACAAUGAUAUAAAAAUUUAAAAAUUUUUUGGGAAUGAGAAAUCACAGCAGAAGGGGCAAGAAGUUUUGAUGAUGAUCAAGUUAAAAGAGAAGAGAAAUCUUCAAGAAGAAAGAAAUUCUUUUUGCUUCUCUGCACACAACCUCUGACAAUCAAAGAAUCCAUCAAUUCCACCUCAUUAGAAAAUCAAUAACAACACAUAUACAAGCUAUCUAGAAGACACAAUUGAUAUACUGCUAUCAACAAGCAGAUGGAAAUGCAAUUAUCUACUAGCAAGCAAUCUAUACAAUCACUGAGGGCAGCUCUUAUAAAAAAAGGGGGCAAUUGUAAUGCACUCAUUUAUUAUUUCCUUAUUAUCUUCACUUAUUCUUACCUCUUUCCAUUAUACUCUUGCUACCGCUAUUUCUAUAUGUAUAUAUAUAUCAAUGUAUGUAUUUCGCACAUCUUCUUUCUCUUUCUUUUCUUCCUUAGCA